Lagopus leucura (white-tailed ptarmigan) is the source of this 2220-nucleotide long non-coding RNA. RefSeq lists it as uncharacterized. The transcript is spliced from 4 exons. The record is from RefSeq and is a predicted model, not a curated record. NCBI's taxonomy places the organism in Eukaryota, Metazoa, Chordata, Aves, Galliformes, Phasianidae.
GGAAUGGGGUGUCCACAGCCUCCUUGGGCAACCUGUUUCAGUGCUUCACCACCCUCUGAGUGAAAAACUUCCUUGUAAUGUCUAACCCUAGACCUCCCCUGUCUUAAUUUAAAACCAUUUCCCCUUGUCCUAUUGCUAUCCACCCUUGUAAAAGAUAGGAUCUGAGAGAUCUGCUCUCCCUGCAGUUGUUGUGAAUAGGUUUGUGUUUUCUGAGCUGAGAGGAAAGCCAUAUACGCAGCAAUUUGCCUUUUAAGGUUUUGCUUCACUGCACACCAUGCCUCACUGACUCGCACAGCUCCUUUCAGGCACUUCCUCAAUUUUAAUGUGGUGCUGUUUCCAUAAUAUGUAAUAAACACCACUGAGGCUGAUAGUUCAGUUUUGAACAGGGUGAAUGUAGUGAGAUCCCUGAUGCUGAAAGAAUAACAAGGCUGAAAAGUCCUCUGCGCUUCAAUAUGCACUACUGCUUGCUGCACUGUGCCAUAAUGAAAGCUGAAUGCCUGCCUUCCUCCUCACUUCUCACACAGUAACACUUUAUCUGAGGGGAAAACCGACUGUCUGUAGUUACUGCAGAAACCACUCACAGCUGAGACAGGGUAAGUGAAGGGAAUAGAAAUGAGAGAGAGGUGUGCAUGGUUGUCAUAUGAUCUCUGCAGCAUCCCCGCACUGUUGCAAAUUCAGCCAUACGUUUCUGGGUUUAUGCUGAGUUUGUGGACUUGGACUGUCUGACUGGCACCUUCUCUUGGCAUGUUAGUUCUGUCUGCCCCUCCCUUCUACAGAGCUGAGUGUGGAUGGAGGUAUGGAAAUGCUCUGCAUAGGCAGUGAAGCGACCACAUCUGAUAAGGAAGUCCUGAGCUCUAGGAACUGCUGUACAUGGGAGGAUUUAAAUGGUGGUGUUGACUGAUUUUAUUUUUUUCUUCAAGAGCAGUAAAACGAUGUUCAUUCAGGGCUUAAUGAGCCAUCACUACAGAUUAACACGCUGGGAGCAUCUUCAUCCUGCCAUCUCUGCUGCUCCAUGGGGAAAGCAGGCUGACGUGGUUAUUAAAUCUGGCAGCUGUGUUGUGUGCACAUGGGAAACAAGCAGAGUACAGCAUAUAGAACAUGAGUAGCUUUCAGAAAGAAGCCUUCCAUUCACUGCUACAAGGCUUGAAAGGCAGACUAAAAAGCUUUCUCCUUUUGGAAUCACCAGUUGCUGGGACAGUGUGCAAAUACUACAAAUGCAGUAGCAAACUUGCAAAUUUACAUUCCUGCUAAUCUGUACAUGAACUGUGAAAACAUGAGGGCUACCCCAAAAGUGAUGGCCAGGUAAUGGCUGUUUUCAGUGAGGACCUCGCAUGGAUCAGCUGCAAUAAGGGAUCCUGGAGAGAGGUCUUGGAGAACAGAAGAGGUGUCUGAAGAGUGGAGAAUAGCCAGUGUCACUGCAGAAAGGGAAAGAAGGAGGGUCCGGGAGACUACAGGCCAGUCAGUCUCCCCUCUGUCCCUGGGAAAGUGACAGAACAGCUUGUUCUGGAUGCACCUCUGAGCAAUUGGAAGACAAGUUAUCAGGUGUAGUCAGCGUGGAUUCUCCGAGGGGAAAUCAUGUUCAACCAACCUCGUAGCCUUCUAUGAUGGAUGGAUAGAUGAGGGGAGAGCUGUGGAUGUUGUCUGUGUUGACUUCAGCAAGGCUUCUGAUGCUGUCUCCCAUGUCAUCUUGAUAACGAAGCUGAGAAAGUGUGGGAUAGAUGAGUGGACAGUGAGAUGUGUUGAGAAUUGGUUGAGCUGAAAGGGCGGUGAUCAGUGAUGCAGAGUCCAGUUGCAGACCUGUGACUAGCAGUGCUCCCCCGGGGGUCAGUGAUGGAUCUGGUCUUGUUCAGGGUCUCCAUGAAUUACCUUGAUGAGGAGAUAGUGUCCGCUCUCAGCAGGUAUGCUGAUGCUACAAAGCUGGGAGGAGUGACUGACAUCUGAUGGCUGUGCUGCCAUUCAGCAAGAGCUGGACAGGCUGGAGAGCUGGGCAGUAAGAAACCAGGUGAGGUUUAACAAAAGCAGGUGUAGAGUCCUGCAUCUGGGAGGAAAUAACUGCAAGUAUCACUAUAGGUGGUUGCAUGACCUUCUGGAGAGGAGCUCUGUGAAGGACCUGGGGGUCCUGGUGGACAAAAGUUUGGCCAUGAGCCCUUGUGUAUGCCCUUGUGGCCAAGAGUGCCAAUGGAAUCCUGGGGUGCAUUAAAAGGAGCAUGGCCAGCAGGG